Molecule: long non-coding RNA, 2375 nt
Filed under: Homo sapiens (human)
Lineage: Eukaryota; Metazoa; Chordata; Mammalia; Primates; Hominidae
Description: HSALNT0329179
Source: RNAcentral
CUGUGAAGUACUUUUUAACUGUGAGGGAAAAAUAGAAUACGGAAAAAAAAAGGACUGAACCCGUGCCUCGGACCAGGGUCUAGUAGGCUGAAGGAACUUACCUGAUGUGGACCCCUCUACAUUAGUCUCAUCUGAAGAUCCGUCCUCCUAACCCAGCACUCACACAUUUGCAGCUCCAGGAUGUGCCCUUCUCUCAAAACUGUGCCUUAGCUGUGCCCUGUGACUACACACCUUUCUUUCACUUCUGGCCAGCACCUCCUGAGAUUUGCUGAAAGCAAGUCCCAGGCAUGGAGCUGCACUACAGGAGCUACAGCACGGGUAGAUAAAACGCCAAAAGAAACCUCAUCUUUCGGGCUAGAGGAAGAGUGUGUGUGUGUGUGUGUGUGUGUGUGUGUCCGUGUGUGUCUGUGUGUGUGUGUGUGUGUGUAUGUGUGUGUGUGGUGGGGAAGGUGGGGCGGUCUUGUAAACUGAAGAAUGUGGGGAAAAUCCCAGAGAAAAAACUGGAGAAGGGGAUCCCCUAAUUCUGUGAAUGAAUGUGUGCAAAUCUCAGGGUCAACCCUGAGCAGCACAUGUGUAGCCAAACAGCACAGCAAUUCUCACAGACUGGAAAACUCAAUUGAUACUUAGGUCACUGUCAAAGUCCCAGACUAAGACCUGAGUGGUGCCUGCAUGAGACAGACCUGAAGAGGCAAAAGCUUUGAAAACUGAACUGAGAUUAGAACCACUGCCCACAGAAGGCAAAACAGAAAUUUGGAAUCUGAACCUAAGCAAAUUGAUUGCCUGACCAAACAAAAAAAUAAACAAAAAAUCCCAAUAGUCUCCAGAGGAUUAUAACAGGAUGCAGAGCCUACACAAUAUAACAUUUGGGAUGUUUAAGAUAUAGUCCAAAAUUAUUUGUCAUAAAGAGUCCAAAAAAUGUGACCAAAUAAGAGAAAAGACAGUCAACAGAUGUCAACCUAGAAAUAACCCAGAUGUUGAAUGCAUUAUUUUUUAAAACUUUUAAAAGCAUUUCUAACUAUGUUGUAUGAAGUAAAGGUAAACAUAUUUGAAGUGAAUGAAAUGACAGCUCUCAGCAAAGAAACAGAAGCUGCUGCAAAAAAAGAAAGCUGCUACAAAAAGAAGAAAGAAAACAAAAUGUUAGAACUGAAAAAAAAAUUACCUGAAACAAAACAUUCACAUAAGCUCAAUAACAGAAUGAGCUGUUACCAAAGAGAAUAAUGGGUUGUUAUUGCUAUUGAAGAGCAAAGUGUUAGUGCAACUGAAAAUAAAUCCAUAGAAAAUAUCUGAUCUGAAUAACAAAGAUAACUUCUCCUGAGAAAAGAAGUUGAAAAAAUGAACAAAGCCUCAAGGACCUAUGGGACAAUACCAAAAUGUUCCAGAAGGAAGGAUGAAAGAUUGCUGCAGAAGUAUUUAAAGAAACAGUAGCUGAAAUUUCCAGAAUUUGGUGAACGAUAUAAACUUACAGAUUCAAGAAGCCUGGCAAACCUCAUUGAGGAUAAAAUCAAAGAAUACUAUGCCUACACACAUUAGAUUCAAACUGCUGAAAAUGGAAGCUAUAGGGAAAAAAUAUAAGCAGCUAGAGAAAAACAACGUAUUUUUACAGGGGAAUACCAAUUCAAACAACUGUGGAUUUCUCAUCAGAAACCACAAAGGCUACAAAACAGUGGAAUAACACUCUGAAAGUGUUGAAAGACCUAUUGAUGCAGAAACCUAUGAACAGUGAAAAUAUCCUCCAGGAUUGAAGGUGAAAUAAAGUUUUCAGAUGAAGUACAAAUUAAGAAUAUUCAUCACCAACAGAUCUGCUCAAAAAGAAAUGCUGAAGGAAAUUCUUUAUGCUAAAAAGAAAAAUUACAAGAGCAAACCUUGGGUAAAGGAAAAGCAACAAAAAUGGUAAAUAUCUGAAUAAAUAAAACAGAUUAUUUUUUCCUCUUAAGUUCUUUAAAAUAGACAUGACUGUUGAAGUAAAGAUUAUAAUACAGUAUACAGCUAUAAUACAUGUAAACUAUUUGCAACAUAUAAUGUAUUCUUAUCAUAACUGAAAGUUCAUAUUGCUAAUACCUUGGGUACUCGUAGUUUUAACACCAGAAACAAGGAAAGAAAAACAAACAUGUUUAUAUAACAAAAACAACCUUUUCACCUCAUAGUCCAGAGCCCAAGAGUGGACCGCACAAUGGGAAUGAUGUGGGGCAGUGGGCAACUCAAGUAGAGGCUGCUGGGGAGCAGUCAUAUCACUAUGGAGAGGCUAUGAGGAAUCCACUUCCUUCAGGUGUCCAACCAUCAGCAGCUUGGAGUACCCCGCUCAACUGCCAGGGAGCUAUCACUCUUUUUCUUUCUUUCUUUUUUUUUUGGGGGGGGACAGUCUUGCUCUGUCCCCC